This 1001-nucleotide ribosomal RNA is filed under the name Lacticaseibacillus paracasei. Its description in RNAcentral is "bacterial SSU rRNA". It matches the Rfam family "Bacterial small subunit ribosomal RNA", at positions 533 to 1533 of the family's 1533-position model. Lineage: Bacteria; Bacillati; Bacillota; Bacilli; Lactobacillales; Lactobacillaceae. The record is from RNAcentral.
GAGGAGCGGUUUCGGGAUUAUUGCGGCGUAAGCGAGCGCAGGCGGUUUUUUAAGUCUGAUGUGAAAGCCCUCGGCUUAACCGAGGAAGCGCAUCGGAAACUGGGAAACUUGAGUGCAGAAGAGGACAGUGGAACUCCAUGUGUAGCGGUGAAAUGCGUAGAUAUAUGGAAGAACACCAGUGGCGAAGGCGGCUGUCUGGUCUGUAACUGACGCUGAGGCUCGAAAGCAUGGGUAGCGAACAGGAUUAGAUACCCUGGUAGUCCAUGCCGUAAACGAUGAAUGCUAGGUGUUGGAGGGUUUCCGCCCUUCAGUGCCGCAGCUAACGCAUUAAGCAUUCCGCCUGGGGAGUACGACCGCAAGGUUGAAACUCAAAGGAAUUGACGGGGGCCCGCACAAGCGGUGGAGCAUGUGGUUUAAUUCGAAGCAACGCGAAGAACCUUACCAGGUCUUGACAUCUUUUGAUCACCUGAGAGAUCAGGUUUCCCCUUCGGGGGCAAAAUGACAGGUGGUGCAUGGUUGUCGUCAGCUCGUGUCGUGAGAUGUUGGGUUAAGUCCCGCAACGAGCGCAACCCUUAUGACUAGUUGCCAGCAUUUAGUUGGGCACUCUAGUAAGACUGCCGGUGACAAACCGGAGGAAGGUGGGGAUGACGUCAAAUCAUCAUGCCCCUUAUGACCUGGGCUACACACGUGCUACAAUGGAUGGUACAACGAGUUGCGAGACCGCGAGGUCAAGCUAAUCUCUUAAAGCCAUUCUCAGUUCGGACUGUAGGCUGCAACUCGCCUACACGAAGUCGGAAUCGCUAGUAAUCGCGGAUCAGCACGCCGCGGUGAAUACGUUCCCGGGCCUUGUACACACCGCCCGUCACACCAUGAGAGUUUGUAACACCCGAAGCCGGUGGCGUAACCCUUUUAGGGAGCGAGCCGUCUAAGGUGGGACAAAUGAUUAGGGUGAGUCUACAGGGGGGGGGCCACCAUAUAAACCCCCGGGUUUUGCCCGGGGA